This 471-nucleotide ribosomal RNA is filed under the name uncultured bacterium. RNAcentral's name for it is "bacterial SSU rRNA". It matches the Rfam family "Bacterial small subunit ribosomal RNA", at positions 28 to 507 of the family's 1533-position model. The record is from RNAcentral.
GAUAAACGCUGGCGGCGCACAUAAGACAUGCAAGUCGAACGGACCAAAACUUUAGUUUACUAUAGUAGAGGUUAGUGGCGGACUGGUGAGUAACACGUAAGCAAUCUGCCUAUCAGAGGGGAACAACAGUUAGAAAUGACUGCUAAUACCGCAUAUGCCUAAGUAACACAUGUUACAAUAGGGAAAGGAGCAAUCCGCUGAUAGAUGAGCUUGCGUCUGAUUAGAUAGUUGGUGGGGUAACGGCCUACCAAGUCGACGAUCAGUAGCCGGACUGAGAGGUUGAACGGCCACAUUGGGACUGAGAUACGGCCCAGACUCCUACGGGAGGCAGCAGUCGGGAAUAUUGCGCAAUGGAGGAAACUCUGACGCAGUGACGCCGCGUGCAGGAAGAAGGUUUUCGGAUCGUAAACUCCUGUCCUCGGGGAAGAGCAGAAGACGGUACCUGAGGAGGAAGCCCCGGCUAACUACGUG